This 891-nucleotide long non-coding RNA is filed under the name Homo sapiens (human). RNAcentral's name for it is "long non-coding RNA NONHSAT182706.1". The record is from RNAcentral. Lineage: Eukaryota; Metazoa; Chordata; Mammalia; Primates; Hominidae.
GGCUUUCAAAAACAGGUCAGCCCUUCAUAAACCCAGAUGGGAGUCCAGUUGUGUAUAAUCCUCCUAUGACUCAACAACCAGUUAGAUCCCAAGUGCCUGGACCUCCACAGCCACCUCUGCCAGCCCCACCUCAACAACCAGCAGCUAAUCACAUUUUCUCACAGGAUAACCUAGGGUCUCAGUUUAGCCACAUGAGUCUUGCUCGCCAGCCAUCUGCUGAUGGUUCUGACCCUCAUGCCGCCAUGUUCCAGUCCACUGUGGUUCUUCAGUCUCCACAGCAGUCUGGUUAUAUCAUGACAGCAGCCCCUCCACCACAUCCUCCUCCACCGCCACCACCACCACCUCCUCCUCCUCCCCUACCACCUGGGCAGCCAGUCCCUACUGCUGGAUAUCCUGCCUCUGGUCAUCCUGUCAGCCAGCCUGUGCUCCAGCAGCAGGGAUAUAUUCAGCAGCCAUCACCACAGAUGCCAGCCUGUUAUUGCGCUCCAGGCCACUAUCACUCCAGCCAACCUCAGUAUCGCCCAGUCCCUUCUGUUCAUUACAAUUCACAUCUAAACCAACCACUGCCACAACCUGCGCAGCAGACAGGUUAUCAAGUUAUACCCAACCAGCAGCAAAACUACCAAGGAAUAGUUGGAGUUCAGCAACCCCAGAGUCAGAGCCUAGUCAGUGGCCAACCCAACAGCAUUGGAAAUCAGAUUCAAGGAGUGGUCAUCCCCUAUACUUCAGUGCCAACAUAUCAGGUUUCACUGCCUCAAGGUUCUCAAGGAAUUCCCCAUCAGACUUAUCAACAGCCUGUUAUGUUCCCUAAUCAGUCUAAUCAAGGAUCUAUGCCCACAACAGGAAUGCCUGUUUACUAUAGUGUCAUUCCACCUGGUCAACAAAACAAUU